RNAcentral lists this ribosomal RNA (253 nucleotides) under uncultured bacterium. RNAcentral's name for it is "partial 16S ribosomal RNA". It matches the Rfam family "Bacterial small subunit ribosomal RNA", at positions 524 to 776 of the family's 1533-position model. The record is from RNAcentral.
UACGUAGGGUGCGAGCGUUGUCCGGAAUUACUGGGCGUAAAGAGCUCGUAGGUGGUUUGUCGCGUUGUCCGUGAAAACUCACAACUCAAUUGUGGGCGUGCGGGCGAUACGGGCAGACUGGAGUACUGCAGGGGAGACUGGAAUUCCUGGUGUAGCGGUGGAAUGCGCAGAUAUCAGGAGGAACACCGGUGGCGAAGGCGGUUGCCUGGAGCUUUGCUGACGCUGAUGCGCGAAAGCGUGGGGAGCGAUCCGG